RNAcentral lists this ribosomal RNA (433 nucleotides) under uncultured bacterium. Its description in RNAcentral is "partial 16S ribosomal RNA". It matches the Rfam family "Bacterial small subunit ribosomal RNA", at positions 29 to 507 of the family's 1533-position model. The record is from RNAcentral.
AACGAACGCUGGCGGCAUGCCUAACACAUGCAAGUCGAACGAAGUCUUCGGACUUAGUGGCGCACGGGUGCGUAACGCGUGGGAAUCUGCCCUUGGGUACGGAAUAACUCAGAGAAAUUUGUGCUAAUACCGUAUAAUGUCUUCGGACCAAAGAUUUAUCGCCCAAGGAUGGGCCCGCGUAAGAUUAGCUAGUUGGUGGGGUAAAAGCCUACCAAGGCGACGAUCUUUAGCUGGUCUGAGAGGAUGAUCAGCCACACUGGGACUGAGACACGGCCCAGACUCCUACGGGAGGCAGCAGUGGGGAAUAUUGGACAAUGGGCGAAAGCCUGAUCCAGCAAUGCCGCGUGAGUGAUGAAGGCCCUAGGGUUGUAAAGCUCUUUUACCAGGGAUGAUAAUGACAGUACCUGGAGAAUAAGCUCCGGCUAACUCCGUG